RNAcentral lists this ribosomal RNA (253 nucleotides) under uncultured bacterium. RNAcentral describes it as "partial 16S ribosomal RNA". It matches the Rfam family "Bacterial small subunit ribosomal RNA", at positions 524 to 776 of the family's 1533-position model. The record is from RNAcentral.
UACGUAGGGUGCAAGCGUUACUCGGAAUUACUGGGCGUAAAGCGUGCGCAGGCGGUUAUUCAAGACAGAUGUGAAAUCCCCGGGCUUAACCUGGGAACUGCAUUUGUGACUGCAUAGCUGGAGUGCGGCAGAGGGGGAUGGAAUUCCGCGUGUAGCAGUGAAAUGCGUAGAUAUGCGGAGGAACACCGAUGGCGAAGGCAAUCCCCUGGGCCUGCACUGACGCUCAUGCACGAAAGCGUGGGGAGCAAACAGG